Armigeres subalbatus is the source of this 492-nucleotide long non-coding RNA. RefSeq lists it as uncharacterized. The record is from RefSeq and is a predicted model, not a curated record. The transcript is spliced from 2 exons. Lineage: Eukaryota; Metazoa; Arthropoda; Insecta; Diptera; Culicidae.
AUAAAUAAUCAUAGUGAGCUAUGCCUUACCAAGCAAUGACAAUCUUCAAAAAAAAAAUCCUUUCGGCCUCAAGCGGACGUCAAAAUUCAAGUGGAAAAUUAAAAGCCCAAAAAAAUCUCAAUAUGUAUUGCAUCAGCUUCCCUUUCACAUCCUGCUGUUUGCCGAGCAGUUUCUUCUGCGAUCCAUCGUGUGCACCCUGUGGCCCAUGUGGACCCUGUACUACGCCCAGCUGUGGACCCUGUUGCUGUGGAAGUUGCUGCGUGGCCCCAUGUGGUCCCUGCUGCAGCCCGUGCGGUGGACCCAGGAAGUUUGCUAACGAUAUGAGACUACGCAACGCUGGAUACUACGACUGAGGAGGAACCGAAACGGGGAAAACGGGGAAGUCUGGGAAUGUGCGAAUAAAAUGUUCAAUAAAUUCAAAAUGAAUAAGAACUUGCCAGAAAAAAAUUGUUUUUGAAUUUAUUUUUGAAGGAAAUAUACCAGCUAACAAUA